Molecule: ribosomal RNA, 711 nt
Filed under: Triticum aestivum (bread wheat)
Lineage: Eukaryota; Viridiplantae; Streptophyta; Magnoliopsida; Poales; Poaceae
Description: partial small subunit ribosomal RNA
Source: RNAcentral
AUGCAUGCAAUCCCUUCUUUCCAACUAACACGGAGCAAAGACACGCUCGUCCGCGCCCUCCCCAUCCUCAUCGGUGGCGCGUCACUCCUCGAUGUCCUCCUCAACCGUGUCGUUUCCGGCAUCGCCGCCGUCUCCGACGCCUCCAGUUCGCAGUCGAGGGCCAACAUACUCACCUUGGCGCUCUUUGUAACUGAUAUCCUGGCCGGCCUUGUUUGGCUGUCAAUCCGCCCGAAAACCAUUUCUUCGGUCGCUCCUCGAGGUGUCGAUUGUAAGCGAGUAGAUGAGGAUGUAUCAAGUUCUGCUCUUCGUGAACUACUUUGGACAUGGGAUUCCCCGAUGGUUGCAACUUGUUGCAAAUCAUUGGUUGUUGUGUAUGGAGGUAAUUGCAAACUUCAAAUUGGGGUUGCUGCUGCCUCUCCAGAAGAUGGUAAUGUUGUUGAUGUGGAUGCACAGAAGUUCAUGCAAGGUUCCCUUUACAAGAGUGCCAUGGAAUCCAAGAAACAAUCUUAUCUAGCAAAUCUUGCUUUGUAUCCUGGAAGGACUGAGCUACCAUUUCUGCCAAAUAACACACAGGCCCUAAUAUUGCAGCCAAUUGGUGAUAAAGGAAUUGCAGUUAUUGGUGGUGACACUACAAGGGCGUUCACUAAUCUUGAUCAGGCAUGGAUUGCUAUGAUUGCAGACAAGUUGGAUGCUACAUUGUCAAAGCCUUAA